This 472-nucleotide unclassified non-coding RNA is filed under the name Hevea brasiliensis (rubber tree). The record is from RNAcentral. Lineage: Eukaryota; Viridiplantae; Streptophyta; Magnoliopsida; Malpighiales; Euphorbiaceae.
GUUAUAAUAUGACUUUUAUUUCUGAUAUGAUCUUAUGUGGGUCCAAUUUUGUGACCCGAGUAAAAAAAAAAGAACCUGUAACUUUGACUUGUUAUGAGGUCUCUGGUAACAAUUAAUUGCGGCGUAUUAUGAGUUAUGUUAUGAUGUAAACACCCUGAUAGUAGGUUUUUUUUUUCCAUUAUAGUGUAACUUUUCAGUUAUGUCUUGUAAAGUGAUCUUGUAUGUUGAUUGUUUUUAUCUUCUUGAUAUCGUGAUUGUGUGCAAGCUUGCUAUAAUGUGAUAUUGUGAUUGUGAUUUUUUUUUUUUUUUUACUUCUAAUAAAUGCCGAGGCAAGCUUGCUUGAUUUGAUUUGCUUCUUUUUCUUGAGUACAGUCUCAUACAAUGUAUGCAAACAACUUUGCAACUGGAAUCUAGUUAUCAGAUAGCUCUAUGUGUAUGAUUUUCUUUCUAUUUUUUUUUAUUUUUUUUUUUU